CAUCUCAACUCAACACCUCUUAGCUCCUCCAUUCCUUUCUUCAAGUUAACACUCCCCCUCAAGCUUGACUUUAGCUGAUCCUAAGUCAAGCUUGGAACCUUGAAGACUUCCUCAUUAAAAACCUCACCAAGGAAAACCCUUUGGACAAAACCUUGAUGAGGGAAAAAGAGUAAAGCCUCCAAGGCCUAGGAUUGGCCAGUGAGUCUUUGUGCCUUACCAACAAUGUAAGGGACACAAAGACUCUGGAUCAUGGCCUCAUGUGAUGCACGAUAGAACCCACUCCUCUUGCUCAUCAUCAACACUUCUUGUACUCUUCUUCAGACAGAUCUUGGUCUCUCCCCCUUUCUCACAACCUUCUUGUUGUGAUCAAGUGCUCGGACUAACAGCUCUUCCUUGAUAGAUACAAGCUGAGUCUUGGCUGCUUCUUCUUCAUGAGUCAACCACCAUGUUACUGAAACCUUCAUGACCGGAUG
Molecule: long non-coding RNA, 473 nt
Filed under: Brassica rapa (field mustard)
Lineage: Eukaryota; Viridiplantae; Streptophyta; Magnoliopsida; Brassicales; Brassicaceae
Description: long non-coding RNA (BRAP_LNC008631)
Source: RNAcentral